Molecule: ribosomal RNA, 402 nt
Filed under: Fusobacteriota bacterium
Lineage: Bacteria; Fusobacteriati; Fusobacteriota
Description: Fusobacteria bacterium partial 16S ribosomal RNA
Rfam family: Bacterial small subunit ribosomal RNA
Source: RNAcentral
UGGGGAAUUUUGCACAAUGUGGGAAACCCUGAUGCAGCGACGCCGCUUGAUUUAGAAGGCCUUCGGGUUGUAAAAAUCUUUUCUAUGGUAAGAAAAUGACAGUACCAUAGGAAUAAGGACCGGCUAAUUACGUGCCAGCAGCCGCGGUAAUACGUAAGGUCCGAGCGUUGUCCUGAAUCAUUGGGCGUAAAGGGUACGUAGGCGGGUAAGCAAGUUAGAAGUGAAAUCCUAUAGCUCAACUAUAGUAAGCUUUUAAAACUGAUCAUCUUGAGGUAUGGAAGGGAAAGUGGAAUUCCUAGUGUAGCGGUGAAAUGAGCAGAUAUAAGGAGGAAUACCGGUGGAGAAGGCGACUUUCUGGAAAUAAACUGACGAUGAGGUACGAAAGCGUGGGUAGCAAACAGG